This 709-nucleotide ribosomal RNA is filed under the name uncultured bacterium. RNAcentral's name for it is "bacterial SSU rRNA". It matches the Rfam family "Bacterial small subunit ribosomal RNA", at positions 8 to 710 of the family's 1533-position model. The record is from RNAcentral.
AGAGUUUGAUCCUGGCUCAGAUUGAACGCUGGCGGCAUGCUUUACACAUGCAAGUCGAACGGCAGCACGGGCUUCGGCCUGGUGGCGAGUGGCGAACGGGUGAGUAAUGCAUCGGAACGUGCCCAUUUGUGGGGGAUAACGCGGCGAAAGUCGCGCUAAUACCGCAUACGCCCUGAGGGGGAAAGCGGGGGAUUCUUCGGAACCUCGCGCAAUUGGAGCGGCCGAUGUCAGAUUAGCUAGUUGGUAGGGUAAAGGCCUACCAAGGCGACGAUCUGUAGCGGGUCUGAGAGGAUGAUCCGCCACACUGGGACUGAGACACGGCCCAGACUCCUACGGGAGGCAGCAGUGGGGAAUUUUGGACAAUGGGCGCAAGCCUGAUCCAGCCAUGCCGCGUGAGUGAAGAAGGCCUUCGGGUUGUAAAGCUCUUUCGGUCGGGAAGAAAUCGGCGACUCUAACAUAGUCGCUGGAUGACGGUACCGGACUAAGAAGCACCGGCUAACUACGUGCCAGCAGCCGCGGUAAUACGUAGGGUGCGAGCGUUAAUCGGAAUUACUGGGCGUAAAGCGUGCGCAGGCGGUUUUGUAAGACAGAUGUGAAAUCCCCGGGCUUAACCUGGGAACUGCGUUUGUGACUGCAAGGCUAGAGUACGGCAGAGGGGGGUGGAAUUCCUGGUGUAGCAGUGAAAUGCGUAGAUAUCAGGAGGAACACC